RNAcentral lists this long non-coding RNA (1648 nucleotides) under Citrus maxima (pomelo). RNAcentral's name for it is "long non-coding RNA (CMAX_LNC001313)". The record is from RNAcentral. Lineage: Eukaryota; Viridiplantae; Streptophyta; Magnoliopsida; Sapindales; Rutaceae.
UCAAUUCAAAACCAUCUUCUCACUCAUCACGAAUCAAUCCUGACUUCUGAAAAUUGAAUCACAAUAAACUAUAAUGAGUACAAAACCCAGUAAGCAAACUAGUUUUUCUUAUACGGAAAAUACAUACAGACUUAUACAUAAUGCAAUGGUUGAUAUGUCAUGAUCUUUUGGAAAUACUGUAAAAUAAAUUCAUAAAAAUCUCUUUCUGUCGCUUUCAAACUUUCUUAUUUUCUUUCGAUGAAAUACGUAUCCUACAAUGUGGCACUUUGUGCUGUACGUGGCACUUUGCGGCGCCCUGGCCCUCAAGAGGUGGCCCCCGCAUAGUCCCAAGAGGUGACCCCCACACAACUUCAAGAGGUGGCCCCCAAUGCAAAAUCUCAUAAAACAUAAAUUCUGUUUGCUAAAAUCCACUUUCUCAUUCGUAGAAAACUCAAUGCAUUUUCGUGCUCAUGCCAAUGAACCAUCACACAUACAUAUGCCCAUGUACAUAAUCACGCUCAACACAUGCCAACACAUCACAUAAACACAUGGGCAAAGACAUCUAAAUCCAUAUCCGUAUAUAUAUCAAAAUAUGCUUUUCACACAAGUCAAACAUAUAUAUUGUUUAGUGUGAUUCGUUUUAAAGUCUAGUUUACUUACCUCUUGGCAUCCUCAUGUAACAAAUGCGUACUGAUACCAUUAACCUAAAAUCAUCAAUAACGCCUCAUAAGAUAUAAUCAAAUCUCAAUCACAAACUGUAAUGUCCUCAAAUAUCUCAAUUUAAACAACUCCUAAGCUCAACCUCAAAUGUCCUCAAUAAUCGGCCCUCAAAACAUAAAUCCUUUACAAAUACUCUUUAUCAGUUGUAAAGAGUUAUUUAAAUUAUAUGUGAGUUGUAGACAUAUUUGCCCUUGGAUUUCAGACUGGGGUGUUUCAAAUGGUAUCAGACCGAUUCCCAUCCGAUAAAAUUGGAACGAUACAGAGAAGAUUAGCAUAAUUCGUAACAUAAUUCCUUCAAAAACUAUUGAAAAUAAUUCACGUUUCAGACAUCAUCAAUACUGUCAAACAGUUUUCUGUUUUGAACACACUUGCUUUACAAAUACAAAACAAUUUAUUGCUUUAUCAUAAAAUCAUGAAAAUUUCCAGAAUCAUACUAGACAUAUAUAAAAAGCAUUGGUCCAAAUUUCAUAAUUUUUGAAGAAGUCUAACUAUGGUAAAAAUAAUUUCGUAAUUCACGUUAUUCACUGAAAUCAUAAAUUUCCAGGUUUUCAGACUUGAAUUUGAAAAAUCAUAAUUAAUUGAAAUCUUAUCCGAUUAACUUGAAACAAGUUUCAAAACAUUCUAGACGAUGUCUAGUUUAACAUACCCAAAAAUCAGAAUCAAAAUCAAUUUGUACAAAUUACUAUGAUUUCUGUAAUAAUUCGCUGUCAGCAUAUUUAUGUAAAAUCUUUGAUUUCUACUUCUAUUACAAUCAUGCUUCUCCACAACAAUUUAAUAGAAACCAAUAAUUAAAACGUACCUCCAAAACUUCUCCCAACAAUAACAACUUGAUCCCAUGUGUUGUCUAUGGCAAAAACUAAGAAGAAGAAGAAGACUUUCUUCUUCUCUUUUUUUCUUUUCUUUUCUCUCUUGUCUCUCCAUCUCUCUUUUUCAACCGAUCUCUCUUUUU